GAAAGUGCUUCACUGGCAGGGAAGGACGUCACUCCCUUUUCAGUGUUCGAAGGAUAUACCAGAGACUGUAUACUCGAGGUUUUGUAGACAUGGCACAAACACAUGAGUCAUGGAAAAAAUUCUUUGUGUGGGAAGCAGGAAAAACAAAUGGGGCCCAACUUCCAGUUGUUCAAAUGCUCAAAAGUAUUGGACAAACAGACGUGACCUCUGCAACGGAAUGUGACUACCUUCUAGUCUUCUGUCCUGUUGUUUCACGAGUUGGAACGGACAUCGGCGAGGCCCUGCACAACAUAACUCCUGGCAAACCAGUAAUACUGGUAGUGAUGCAUCACACCUUCAAUCCUCACCAUGUUGUAGCUGAAAGCCGGAGGCAGGUGGACAACCCAAAUGUCCACCUAACUGUGGACUGUCUGUUUCAUGAAGGCCGUCUCCUCAAUUGCAACCUCAAUGAUACCAUGUCGAGUGACAUCAAAAGAUUUUUUGGUUCUGAAUCCCCAGCUCCAGCCUUAAUUCACAACUUGAUGUCUUUGUGGCAACGCAUCCCAAGUUUCUUUUUAGGUUUCUUCAUCUGGAAAAUAUUUGGACUUUGUUGCUCCAGUAUUUGGAAUUUAUUCAUGUCGUAGCCGGAAAGCCUGUAUGCUGCAACCUUCUACACCAUUCAAGUCAUUGCCAACUGCAUCAACCUUUUUGCGGAUGUGCACAUCAGGUUGUGUGGGAGGUGACGGCACUGAGUUAAAAUGACUUUUCAGUUACAAUGUAAAUUCCUGUACAAGUCUAAUUCACACAUAAGUUAGCAUGGUAGAAAAGGAUUUCUUGAUGUAUGCUCAACCAUCCUGGUAAGUAAAUCCCAAAAGGUUGAUUCCACAACCUUAUAAACAGCACAUUUGCAGUCAUUGUGCAAAUGUACUGUUUAUAAAGUUGGGGAAACCAGCAGUCAGCUGAGACUGAAGAAGUCACUUGGAUGGGUGAUGAAAAUGUUUUUUUUUGAAAAUGCUACGUCCAGAUGAACGGAAUCAACCUUCUGGGGUAGAGUAACAUCUAGAUGUUGGUUGUCCAUGCUGUCUCACCAAAAUAAAAAGAAUAUUUUUUUUGUGGUCACUUUGGUUUCUCCCUCUAAAUAAUGAGGUUAUUUAAUAUUGUACUAGUGUUUAUAUCUAUUUUGUUCAUGAACUGAUAAAAAAAGAGGUAAAGGAAAGGAUACAUGACUAUGCCUAAAUCUUUGUUUACCUAUAUUCUGUCAUUUGUGCGUGAGUGGUAAAAAUAACAGAUAAGUUACUCUUCUGUUUUCAUUUUACUUUUAGGUUUAGGUAGCCCCAUCUGGAAAAAAAUCAGACCUUGCUUGAAUCCUCUGGUACAUAUGGCUGGAUUGAUUAUUCCUUUGCUGAUGGCAGUUGUGACAUCAUUCAGCUCCAAAAUAUGGAAGAGAAAUAAAAGCGGGAAAUGAGGACUGCAAAACAAAAUCCAAAUGCAAUAAUUUAACAAUAUCACAGUAUGUUUUCUUGAUACUGUAUAUAAAACAAAAUAUAAGUAAUAUAUCCUGCCUUUGUAAUCAUUAAAGAUGUGUUAGUUAUGUGUUAUUGUUAUGAAAGCUGGUAUAGAUGUUUUAGGGAUGAAUCUUUUGAUCAUUGGUACUGUAGCAUGUUAAAGAUGAAAUGUUGCUUUACUCACAUGUCCAAGGCAAGACUGAAAAGUGAGCUUUAAGAAAACAGAACCAUUUCUUUCCCAGUUAUUGCAGACAUGCUUAUAUAUUUUAAAAUAAUAAAUUUAUUGAGAGGAUAUCUUGGUGUCAUUUGUUGCUUUUGUUCAUUCUGAAUUAGUGACAUUAAAAACUGUUUCUGAUUUAGGGUUAGACGUUACAGCUGUAACAAAUUGCAAAAUUGCAUUUUCGCUUAAAAUCUUGAAUUAAAAUGUACACACAAUGAGAAUGUUAAGCGUGGAACACAAUAAAACCAGAGACUGCCCCGCCCCUGACCCUUUUUUUUAAUAAAUAUUGAGAAGUGAACCUAGAAGAGCAUAUUAGUGUGUGGUUCAACUUUAUGCAAUUUAACUUUCUGAAAAGAAAGAAAACAAGAGCCAUAUUGAGAAAUCUCUGCUGAUAAUGAUGCACACCCUUUUUCACACCUUGGCUCAUGUGAUGAGGCACAUGGUCAACAGUGGGUCAACGUCCCUCUUAAGAGACAACUCCAACUAGGGCUUAAUACCUGGGACUCUCCAGCAUUUGG
Oreochromis aureus is the source of this 2222-nucleotide long non-coding RNA. NCBI's taxonomy places the organism in Eukaryota, Metazoa, Chordata, Actinopteri, Cichliformes, Cichlidae. The record is from Ensembl.